This 263-nucleotide ribosomal RNA is filed under the name uncultured bacterium. Its description in RNAcentral is "partial 16S ribosomal RNA". It matches the Rfam family "Bacterial small subunit ribosomal RNA", at positions 92 to 354 of the family's 1533-position model. The record is from RNAcentral.
CGACCGGCGCACGGGUGAGUAACGCGUAUGCAACUUACCUAUCAGAGGGGGAUAACCCGGCGAAAGUCGGACUAAUACCGCAUGAAGCAGGGGCCCCGCAUGGGGAUAUUUGCUAAAGAUUCAUCGCUGAUAGAUAGGCAUGCGUUCCAUUAGGCAGUUGGCGGGGUAACGGCCCACCAAACCGACGAUGGAUAGGGGUUCUGAGAGGAAGGUCCCCCACAUUGGUACUGAGACACGGACCAAACUCCUACGGGAGGCAGCAG